UUGACUUUUGGAGGUCCCAAAAACCAACGGUAUAAAAGUACCCAGAAGCUCAAACAAACAGGGCUCUAAUGCCACCGUAGAUGCUGGCUAUUUGAAGCGACGACUGCACAGUUGGGUGAUUACUGGGAAGGAAGCGUCUCUCCACCGUCCAUCGAUCAGUCAGCGAUGGCGCCCUGAUCGUCAAGAUCCAGCAAUGGCGCCUGUGAUGAGACGCCGGAAGAAAGCUCUCGCCGCGGCAGCUUCAGCUCUGGCGAUUGAUCCUGCGGACCACCUCAACAAGCUUCCGGACGAGAUCCUGGUGCAGAUCCUAUCGUUCCUGCCAUCUCAGUGCUAUUGUGUAUAUUUCAAGCACAAUGUUCUAUCAAGAUGGAGCGGAAUCCAGACCAGUUAACUUUUCUUCCGGGGCUCCCGCAGUUUGUUGUUUGAUCACUGAACUUUCAAAGUAUCACGGAUACCUUUUUUUCCUGCUACAGUGAUAUAUAUAUCUAGACUGUCCUUUGGCAACACCUGCAUAAUGUAAUAAGAUGCAGCAAUUUAUCCA
Panicum virgatum (switchgrass) is the source of this 541-nucleotide long non-coding RNA. RefSeq lists it as uncharacterized. The transcript has 2 exons. The record is from RefSeq and is a predicted model, not a curated record. Lineage: Eukaryota; Viridiplantae; Streptophyta; Magnoliopsida; Poales; Poaceae.